RNAcentral lists this ribosomal RNA (2851 nucleotides) under Acinetobacter baumannii. Its description in RNAcentral is "partial 23S ribosomal RNA". It matches the Rfam family "Bacterial large subunit ribosomal RNA". The record is from RNAcentral. Lineage: Bacteria; Pseudomonadati; Pseudomonadota; Gammaproteobacteria; Moraxellales; Moraxellaceae.
CGAUGAAAGACGUGAUAGCCUGCGAAAAGCUCCGGGGAGGCGGCAAAUAUCCUUUGAUCCGGAGAUGUCUGAAUGGGGGAACCCACCUACUUUAAGGUAGGUAUUGCAACAUGAAUACAUAGUGUUGCAAGGCGAACGAGGGGAAGUGAAACAUCUCAGUACCCUUAGGAAAAGAAAUCAAUUGAGAUUCCCUCAGUAGCGGCGAGCGAACGGGGAUCAGCCCAUUAAGUUAUGUGUGUUUUAGUGGAACGCUCUGGGAAGUGCGAACGUAGAGGGUGAUAUUCCCGUACACGAAAGGGCACACAUAAUGAUGACGAGUAGGGCGAGGCACGUGAAACCUUGUCUGAAUAUGGGGGGACCAUCCUCCAAGGCUAAAUACUCCUGACUGACCGAUAGUGAACCAGUACCGUGAGGGAAAGGCGAAAAGAACCCCUGUGAGGGGAGUGAAAUAGAUCCUGAAACCGCAUGCAUACAAGCAGUGGGAGCACCUUCGUGGUGUGACUGCGUACCUUUUGUAUAAUGGGUCAGCGACUUAUAUUCAGUAGCGAGGUUAACCGUAUAGGGGAGCCGUAGAGAAAUCGAGUCUUAAUAGGGCGUUUAGUUGCUGGGUAUAGACCCGAAACCAGGCGAUCUAUCCAUGAGCAGGUUGAAGGUUGGGUAACACUAACUGGAGGACCGAACCCACUGUCGUUGAAAAGCCAGGGGAUGACUUGUGGAUAGGGGUGAAAGGCUAAUCAAGCCUGGUGAUAGCUGGUUCUCCCCGAAAGCUAUUUAGGUAGCGCCUCGGACGAAUACCAUAGGGGGUAGAGCACUGUUUCGGCUAGGGGGUCAUCCCGACUUACCAAACCGAUGCAAACUCCGAAUACCUAUGAGUACUAUCCGGGAGACAGACUGCGGGUGCUAACGUCCGUAGUCAAGAGGAAAACAAUCCAGACCGCCAGCUAAGGCCCCAAAAUCAUAGUUAAGUGGGAAACGAUGUGGGAAGGCAUAGACAGCUAGGAGGUUGGCUUAGAAGCAGCCACCCUUUAAAGAAAGCGUAAUAGCUCACUAGUCGAGUCGGCCUGCGCGGAAGAUGUAACGGGGCUAAAACUAUGUGCCGAAGCUGCGGAUGUAGGUAGGGGAGCGUUCUGUAAGCCGAUGAAGGUGUGUUGAGAAGCAUGCUGGAGGUAUCAGAAGUGCGAAUGCUGACGUGAGUAACGACAAAACGGGUGAAAAACCCGUUCGCCGAAAGACCAAGGGUUCCAGUCCAACGUUAAUCGGGGCUGGGUGAGUCGACCCCUAAGGCGAGGCCGAAAGGCGUAGUCGAUGGGAAAAUGGUUAAUAUUCCAUUACUUCUGUGUAAUGCGAUGAGAGGACGGAGAAGGCUAAAUCAGCCUGGCGUUGGUUGUCCAGGUGAAAGGAUGUAGGCAUGUAUCUUAGGCAAAUCCGGGGUACUCUAUGCUGAGAUCUGAUAGCAAGCUGUACUUGUACAGCGAAGUGGUUGAUGCCAUGCUUCCAGGAAAAGUCUCUAAGCUUCAGUUACACAGGAAUCGUACCCGAAACCGACACAGGUGGUCAGGUCGAGUAGACCAAGGCGCUUGAGAGAACUCUGCUGAAGGAACUAGGCAAAAUGGUACCGUAACUUCGGGAGAAGGUACGCUGUUGUUGGUGAUGGAACUCGCUUCCUGAGCUGACGACAGCCGCAGAAACCAGGCCGCUGCAACUGUUUAUUAAAAACAUAGCACUCUGCAAACACGAAAGUGGACGUAUAGGGUGUGAUGCCUGCCCGGUGCUGGAAGGUUAAUUGAUGGGGUUAGCGUAAGCGAAGCUCUUGAUCGAAGCCCCAGUAAACGGCGGCCGUAACUAUAACGGUCCUAAGGUAGCGAAAUUCCUUGUCGGGUAAGUUCCGACCUGCACGAAUGGCAUAAUGAUGGCGGCGCUGUCUCCAGCAGAGGCUCAGUGAAAUCGAAAUCGCUGUGAAGAUGCAGUGUACCCGCGGCUAGACGGAAAGACCCCGUGAACCUUUACUGCAGCUUGACACUGAACUUUGACCUUACUUGUGUAGGAUAGGUGGGAGGCUUUGAAGCUGGAACGCUAGUUCCAGUGGAGCCGUCCUUGAAAUACCACCCUGGUAAUGUUGAGGUUCUAACUCUGUCCCGUGAUCCGGGACGAGGACCGUGUCUGGUGGGUAGUUUGACUGGGGCGGUCUCCUCCUAAAGAGUAACGGAGGAGUACGAAGGUGCGCUCAGCGUGGUCGGAAAUCACGCGUAGAGUAUAAAGGCAAAAGCGCGCUUAACUGCGAGACCCACAAGUCGAGCAGGUACGAAAGUAGGUCUUAGUGAUCCGGUGGUUCUGUAUGGAAGGGCCAUCGCUCAACGGAUAAAAGGUACUCUGGGGAUAACAGGCUGAUACCGCCCAAGAGUUCAUAUCGACGGCGGUGUUUGGCACCUCGAUGUCGGCUCAUCUCAUCCUGGGGCUGAAGCAGGUCCCAAGGGUAUGGCUGUUCGCCAUUUAAAGAGGUACGCGAGCUGGGUUUAGAACGUCGUGAGACAGUUCGGUCCCUAUCUACCGUGGGCGCUGGAAAUUUGAGAGGAUCUGCUCCUAGUACGAGAGGACCAGAGUGGACGAACCUCUGGUGUACCGGUUGUGACGCCAGUCGCAUCGCCGGGUAGCUAUGUUCGGAAGGGAUAACCGCUGAAAGCAUCUAAGCGGGAAGCCUACCUCAAGAUAAGAUUUCCCUAGGACUUUAUGUCCUCUAAAGAGCCGUUCGAGACUAGGACGUUGAUAGGUUGGAUGUGGAAGCAUAGUGAUAUGUGAAGCUGACCAAUACUAAUUGCUCGUGAGGCUUGACUAUACAACACCCAAGCAGUUG